GGAAAUGAUUAUAUCAGUAUCAGUUGUGUAAAGUAAGAAUCAUUUUUUAUUUUUUUAUCAAUUGUAUUUAGGCAAAACAUUGAAAAUAUUAAUAUUGUUUAAACAUCGAUAUUUAAAUUGCAAUUUCCUUUUUUGUUUUAAGCUAUUCUCAUUAUUAUUUGCAUCAAGAGCAUUGAAGUCCUUAAAUAACUACAUAACGCCUCUUGUCUCGCCUCGUCUAAGUCCAGGAACCGAAACUUAGGUGUGCUGAUUCCGGCGACGUCGGACAAGGUCAGUUUAAGAGGAACCACUGAAAAAAUGAAUAACUGAAUUGCUGGUUGUAUGGAUCGAGAAACAAAAGACUAAGAAGAGCCAUAGGUAACUACCCCUUCAAACAUGAAUACAAAUCUCUUUACUGAAUCAAGUAAUGGUAGCAUUAGUAAAAUAGCAUCACUUCUACAGAAUGGUGCAAAUUCAAAUCAGUGCACUACGCACGCAACCUCUGAAUUUAAUCAUGGGGAUGUCGUUCAAAUCUUACUAGAACACGGUGCUAAACCAAAUAUUAAGUCGAAUAAUGAAAGCAAAAUAAGUCCGCUUGGGUUUGCUAGUAACAAGGAACAUAUUGACAUUGUCUCUAAAUUUUUGAAGUACUCAUCUGACGCCAAUAUUUGUGACAGUAAUGGUCUUAGUCCUUUAUAUUCAGCUUCACGUGGUGGUCAUUUUGAAAUAGCAAAGUCGAGCCAAAGUAAAAAAAAACUCAAAAAGGAUUUAUCGCUCUUCAGGCAGCUUCAGAAUUUGGUCACAGUGAUAUUGUAAAAUUGUUACUUGGAAACUGAGCUGCACCGAAUGAAAGUUCAAACGAUGACAAGAAGACAUCACCACAUUAUUUAACCUCAACAAACGGUCAUCUUGAAACAGUAAAGUUGCUUUUACAAUUUGGUGCUGAUGUAAAUGAACGUACCUCUGAAGGACACACUGCUCUGCACGUUGCAUCAGAAAAUGGCAAAAUUGCUGUUGCGAAAUUGCUUCUAGAAAAUGGAGCAGACCCAAAUGUAGUGUCUACCUGUACUCCUCUUUAUGUAUCUUGUAUGAAUGGCCAUAUAAGCAAUGUUGAAAUUUUGCUUGAACAUGGAGCAACUAUUAACCUUA
This is a long non-coding RNA of Mytilus californianus (California mussel), 1128 nucleotides long. RefSeq lists it as uncharacterized. NCBI's taxonomy places the organism in Eukaryota, Metazoa, Mollusca, Bivalvia, Mytilida, Mytilidae. The record is from RefSeq and is a predicted model, not a curated record. The transcript is spliced from 3 exons.